RNA transcript from Limulus polyphemus (Atlantic horseshoe crab), 3107 nucleotides. RefSeq lists it as uncharacterized. Lineage: Eukaryota; Metazoa; Arthropoda; Merostomata; Xiphosura; Limulidae. The transcript is spliced from 9 exons. The record is from RefSeq and is a predicted model, not a curated record.
UUAAUAAGUCUGACAAUUAGUAUAUUAGCAAAUUCCUCUAAUCACCAGCUCAAAUCAAGAGCAGAUAGCUUCUUAAUAAGUCUGACAAUUAGUAUAUUAGCAAAUUCCUCUAAUCACCAGCUCAAAUCAAGAGCAGAUAGCUUCUUAAUAAGUCUGACAAUUAGUAUAUUAGCAAAUUCCUCUAAUCACCAGCUCAAAUCAAGUGCAGAUAGCUUCUUUGUUUUUAUGUUUUUUUCUUCAAACUAGAAUUUUAUUUUAGCAUUUUUUUAUUAAAGAUGCAGUGGCGAGUUUAUUAAUUUACUAUAUUGAUGAAAUCUAUGGUGUAUAAGAUUUUAACUUAAUGGACUUGAUGGUUCCUAGAUAAGAGGAUUGUUCUUUUACUUGAAUAAGAGUCCCUUUGUUUACGUUAUAAGUCAUUUUCCGGCUGUCAUAAAAGACAAAGCUUUUAAUUGUUAGAGUGGAAGCAUAUGAGUUUAAAUCUUUAUAUGUUUUAUUUGGUAAACUGAUUCUAACCAUUUUUUUGUGUUUGUUUUUCAAGUAUGAAGUAUGGAAUGGUAAUCAAUGCUGAAGACUAGGAUUCAGGAGAAAAACAGUUAAGAAGCAAAAUAAGUGGGUAAUUUAAUUAAACAUUUAUCAGUACAUGACCCAAGUGCAACAGAUGCUGAGAGGGCAGAAGCUAUGCUGAUUGGCCAACCCAAUGAAUUUGGUGAGGAUUAUGAUGUAGAGUAGAGUUACUCUGAAAGUGAAGAAAAUGUAAUAAAGUCGGUCCCAGUUCAGGGUGAAGGAGCAGUCCAAGAAGGGAAGCAGGAAAGACCACAGGUUGUGGUUUUUGAAGUGAUUCAACUGCCAGGUGGGGUAGGUGAAACCUCUGACAGCUCUGAGCAAGCUCUUACUGAACUCCAGCAGAGUUCAGUUUUGAUAACAGUCAUGGAACACCUCAAAAGAAUAUCACUGUCCUUGAGCUGGCCCAAAACCAAGAAUCCCAGGUUAACAAAUUAAUUGUUAAUGUCACCAGAAAUAAUGGAGAAUCUAUAACAUCAGUACUCAUCAAAGAUGAAGCUCAAACCAUAGUAAACUUCCCCCUUUCACACCUCGCCGUCGUCCUCGAAAAUAUCCACUUACAACAGAAUGUCAACCACAGGGACCUGAAAUCAUGCAUGGUAAACAACUGAAGAACUUGGUUAAAUGCAGAACCUUUAGCCAAUAUAGAACGAGUAGAGCAAAUCCAUGCUAAUCCUGAGGAAAUUGUUCAACAAGAAGAAGAAAUUACAAGAAAAAGACAAGAACAAAAGAAGGAAAGAGACAUGGAAGAACACUUUGGUUUUGAUGUUGUACUAAAGUAAUGGGGAGAAUGGAUGGUGCGAUAUUCGAUGACACAGAUAUGAGCGAAGGAAGAGUUGUGAUUUAUCUGGGAAUAUUUGGUGUAAUUAUAUUGCUAAUAUGUCUCAUCUGUUACUGUUGCAAUAAGAAAAUUUACGAUGACGAUUUUGAGACAUCACACUGUGGACUUACGAGGAGUUCGAACGUACAAGGACAUCGGCAUAUCGUGACAAUAAGUGGUGCACCACAAGAACCUGUGACACCAUCACCUCCCCCACCUUAUGACGAUGCUAUCAAGAAAGGAACACGUUUUCAGUUUGAUCAGAGUCCCCCAUCUUACGAAGUUGCACUAUCUUGGCAGAAUUUUCCAGGUGUUCACAACUUUGGACUUGAAGAAUCUUCAAUCUUACACAGACCACAAUAUCAAAUAUUGCCAACAUUAAUGCCCUCGUGAUAAACGCUGGUUGUGAAGAAGGCUGUAAACACUUGCUUAGUGGCAAUUACAAUUGACACUAUUUAAUAAUGAUGCAUCAGAUCCACAAUUUUUAGAAGGAUCUGGGUGAGGGAAUGACAGGGUAGCUUGAUUUUCAGCAAUCCUCGUUUACCAAAUGUGGAGACAUGAUAAAAAUAACUAAGUGCUUGACAAAAAAGUUGGUUUUCAAUUGCUAUAAAUUGUUUAACAAUUUUUGUAGAAUUAGAAAGCAGUGACUUUUAUAAGUAUCAUACUUGAUGCCUAAUAAAGGCCAACCUAUUUUUAAAGUCUGACACCCAUAUGACAAAGCACAUUAAUUUGGAUUUAAGUUUUUGUAAGUUAUUCAAAUGUUCUCUUUAUGUACCAUUUACAGAUUAUUUUAAUUUGUAAGUGUUCUCACACUUCUUUAUUGUCUGUUCUUUACAAGUGUAGUGCUAGCUUGUAUUUACUUUUUUUAGUUAUUUUUUAUGUCUCUGAUUUAAAAGCAUCUAGUCAUCCAUUAAAUUAGUCAUUCUGUCCAGGUACAAAAGUUUAAAAGAUUAUUUGUAACUUCAUUUGGUAUUUUUUUAAGGAAAAAAAAACUCAAUCUGAGGCCAUUAGCUACAUCUUGUUGAGAGUCACAUGUAUAAUUUAACAUUGAAAAGCCUAUACCAUAAGUAACCUUUAUACCAGUGCUCAAACAUGGUAGUGUUUUGAUUCUACAAUACUGAUAACUCAGUGUUUACAUUCUGCAAUACAUACAACUUGGCAUUUUCAUUCCAAUGUUCUAGCACUAUACUUUUUCAAUUCCAUAUACUUUUCAUUUUAUUAUGUUAAUCAUUCUGAGGUCUUGCAACCUCAGUUGGCUUUACAUCCUGGUAUUUUCACCUUGUUAUAAUAUGAAUAUGCAACUCCAUGAACUUGACAUUGGUUUAUGACUGAGAUGUUUCCAACUGAAGACAGGACAAAAUAGCCAUAUGUGUGACUAAAAGUUGGUUUUCAUUUACUUUAAAUUGUAUAAAUAAAAUUUGAAUAAUUGGAAAGCAUUGACUUUUUAAUGUGUAUUAUUGAUGCAUAUAUUUUUAAGAUCUAUAUAACAGACUUAAAACAAAUCGAAGUGUUUUCAAACAUGAAAGAUAUUUAGUUUGAUGUGUCAAUCAUAAAUUUGAUAAUUUUUGAGAACUUGUAGAAAGUAUUGUGUUGUUUUUAUGGGAACCUAAAACUGUUUUAGUAUUUUUGUCUGUGGGCUUUAAACUUGUUAAAAUAUAUAUUGUAGAAAAUUAAAUUAUAAUUGUGAAUGCUGUAUUUUUUUAUUAAAAUAAGUUUUCUAAUUUCA